RNAcentral lists this ribosomal RNA (564 nucleotides) under aff. Phoma sp. RNAcentral's name for it is "eukaryotic LSU rRNA". The stretch from base 195 to 348 matches the Rfam family "5.8S ribosomal RNA". The record is from RNAcentral. Lineage: Eukaryota; Fungi; Ascomycota; Dothideomycetes; Pleosporales; Didymellaceae.
AAGUAAAAGUCGUAACAAGGUUUCCGUAGGUGAACCUGCGGAAGGAUCAUUACCUAGAGUUUGUAGGCUUUGCCUGCUAUCUCUUACCCAUGUCUUUUGAGUACCUUCGUUUCCUCGGCGGGUCCGCCCGCCGAUCGGACAACCAUAAACCAUUUGCAGUUGCAAUCAGCGUCUGAAAAAACUUUAAUAGUUACAACUUUCAACAACGGAUCUCUUGGUUCUGGCAUCGAUGAAGAACGCAGCGAAAUGCGAUAAGUAGUGUGAAUUGCAGAAUUCAGUGAAUCAUCGAAUCUUUGAACGCACAUUGCGCCCCUUGGUAUUCCAUGGGGCAUGCCUGUUCGAGCGUCAUUUGUACCUUCAAGCUCUGCUUGGUGUUGGGUGUUUGUCUCGCCUCUGCGCGUAGACUCGCCUCAAAACAAUUGGCAGCCGGCGUAUUGAUUUCGGAGCGCAGUACAUCUCGCGCUUUGCACUCAUAACGACGACGUCCAAAAGUACAUUUUUACACUCUUGACCUCGGAUCAGGUAGGGAUACCCGCUGAACUUAAGCAUAUCAAUAAGGCGGAG